RNAcentral lists this ribosomal RNA (338 nucleotides) under uncultured bacterium. RNAcentral's name for it is "bacterial SSU rRNA". It matches the Rfam family "Bacterial small subunit ribosomal RNA", at positions 28 to 367 of the family's 1533-position model. The record is from RNAcentral.
GAUGAACGCUAGCGGGAGGCCUAACACAUGCAAGCCGAGCGGUAUUGUUUCUUCGGAAAUGAGAGAGCGGCGUACGGGUGCGGAACACGCGUGCAACCUGCCUUUAUCUGGGGGGAUAGCCUUUCGAAAGGAAGAUUAAUACUCCAUAAUAUAUUGAUUGGCAUCAAUUAAUAUUGAAAGCUCCGGCGGAUAGAGAUGGGCACGCGCAAGAUUAGCAGUUGGUGAGGUAACGGCUCACCAAGGCGAUGAUCUUUAGGGGGCCUGAGAGGGUGACUCCCCCACACUGGUACUGAGACACGGACCAGACUCCUACGGGAGGCAGCAGUGAGGAAUAUUGG